UGAAAUCUGGUCCUCUGGGCCCGAGUUGUAAUUUGCAGAGGAUGCUUUUGGCGCGGUGCCUUCUAAGUUCCCUGGAACGGGACGCCAUAGAGGGUGAGAGACCCGUACGGUUGGACACCAAGCCUUUGUAAAGCUCCUUCGACGAGUCGAGUAGUUUGGGAAUGCUGCUCUAAAUGGGAGGUAUAUUUCUUCUAAAGCUAAAUACCGGCCAGAGACCGAUAGCGCACAAGUAGAGUGAUCGAAAGAUGAAAAGCACUUUGAAAAGAGGGUUAAACAGCACGUGAAAUUGUUAAAAGGGAAGCGCUUGUGACCAGACUUGCGCCCGGUGAAUCACCCAGCUCUCGCGGCUGGGGCACUUUGCCGGCUCAGGCCAGCAUCAGCUUGCCGUCGGGGACAAAAGCUUCGGGAACGUAGCUCUCUUCGGGGAGUGUUAUAGCCCGUUGCAUAAUACCCUUCGGCGGGCUGAGGUACGCGCUCC
Molecule: ribosomal RNA, 478 nt
Filed under: Colletotrichum sp. MUCL 41702
Lineage: Eukaryota; Fungi; Ascomycota; Sordariomycetes; Glomerellales; Glomerellaceae
Description: eukaryotic LSU rRNA
Rfam family: Eukaryotic large subunit ribosomal RNA
Source: RNAcentral